UACGGAGGAUCCAAGCGUUAUCCGGAAUCAUUGGGCUUAAAGGGCGCGUAGGCGGGUGGACAAGUCAGGGGUGAAAGCCCACGGCUCAACCGUGGAAGUGCCUUUGAUACUGUCCGUCUGGAGGGAGGUAGGGGCGUGCGGAACUUCCGGUGGAGCGGUGAAAUGCGUAGAUAUCGGAAGGAACACCGGUGGCGAAAGCGGCGCGCUGGAUUUCUUCUGACGCUGAGGCGCGAAAGCUAGGGGAGCAAACGGG
RNAcentral lists this ribosomal RNA (253 nucleotides) under uncultured prokaryote. Its description in RNAcentral is "partial 16S ribosomal RNA". It matches the Rfam family "Bacterial small subunit ribosomal RNA", at positions 524 to 776 of the family's 1533-position model. The record is from RNAcentral.